AGCUGGGACUACAGCAACAUGGCAGAACAGGAUGCAGAAAAUGAGCUUUUGGAUUAUGAAGAGCCCCAGGCUUCUCCAGGGAGCACUCUGGUUCCCCGUAAGAAAGAUGUCAAGGGAUCCUACGUUUCUGUUCACAGCUCUGGUUUCUGGGACUUUCUGCUGAAACUGGAGCUCCUGAGGUCCAGUAUGAGUGCAUUCUCCAGGCCACCCUGGGCAUGGACAUCCUGUGCCAGGCCAAAUCUGGGAUGGGCAAGAUGGCGGUCUUUGUGCUGGCCACUGUGCAGCAGAUCGGGCCCAUCAACUGACAGGUGACAGUCCUGAUCGUGUGCCACACAGGGGAGCUGGCCUUCCAGAUCAGCAAGGAGUAUGAAUGAUCACUUCUCCAAGUAGAUGCCCAGUGUCAAGGUGUCCAUGUUUUUCGGAGGCCUCUUCAUCAAGAAGAAUGAAGAAUUGUUGAUGAGUUGUCCUCAUGUCAUGGUGGGGACCCCAGGUCAGAUCGUAGCACUUAUGCAGAACAGGAGCCUCAACCUGAAGAAUGUGAAGCACUUUGUGCUGGAUGAGAUGCUGGGGUGGAUGGACAUGUGGCGGGACAUGUGGGAGGCCUCCCACCUGAUGUUCCAGCAGAAGCAGUGAAUCAUGUUCAGUGCCACGCUGAGCAAGGAGAUCUGGCCUGUGUGCAGGGAGUCCAUGCAGGAUCCCAUGGAGGUGUUUGUGGAUGACGAGACCAAGUGCACGCUGCACGCACUGCAGCAGUACGACCUCAAGCUCAAGGACGCUGAGAAGAACCGCAAGCUUUUUGAUCUCCUGGACAUGCUGGAAUUUAAACAGGUGGCAAUCUUCAUCAAGCUGGUGCAGCCCUGCAUGUCCCCGGCCCAGCUCCUCAUGGAGCAGAACUUCCUGGCCAUGGCCCAGGAGGAAUGCCUGUCAUGCUAUCAGCAGUGCAAGGAUUUCCAGCAGUGGAUCCUGGUGGACAUCAAUCUGUUUGCUCAGAGUCCCCGCGUUCACUUUCAAUCACUUCCUAACCAUUGUAGGAAUUGAGUGAUUCAACGUCGUCUUAACUAUGGCAUGCCUGAAGACUCGGACACCUACCUCCACCCAGUGGCCUGUGCAGAUUGCUUUGGCACUAAAGGCCUGGCCAUCACUUUUGUGUCUGAGGAGAAUGAUGCCAAAGUCCUCAAUGACAUCCAAGACCGGUUUGAAGUGAAUGUGACAGAGCUUCUGGAGGAAAGCAACAUCUCCACAUAUGGUGAGCAGAGUCCCGACCAUGGGCCUCGACGGCCUGGAGGGGUCCUGCUGGCUGUGUGUGGCUUCCUGUGUGCCAGGUGGGUCUCUCUUUUGACUGUCCAAAACCUGCAGAUUUGUUCGUCGGGGUUUCCUGCUUCAACAAUGCUUGGACGGAACCCAGCGCUCGUCCCCCACCCUGGCCGGCCGCCCAUAGCCAGCCCUCCGUUACCUCUUCACAGCGCCCUCGGACUGCCCCAAGGCCCCGGCCGCCGCUCCAGCACCGCGCAGCCAGCGCCGCGCAGCCACCGCCGCCACCGCCGCCACCGCCGCCACCGCCUCUCCUUAGUCGCCACCGUGACGACCGCGUCCACCUCCAGGUGUGCCAGAACUACCACCAGGACUCAGAGGCCGCCAUCAACCGCCAGAUCAACCUGGAGCUCUACGCCUCCUACGUUUACCUGUCCAUGUCUUACUACUUUGAUGGUGAUGAUAUGGCUUUGAAGAACUUUGCCAAAUACUUUCUUCACCAAUCUCGUGAGGAGAGGGAACAUGCUGAGAAACUGAUGAAGCUGCAGCACUAAGGAGGUGGCGGAAUCUUCCUUCAGGAUAUCAAGAAACCAGGCUGUGAUGACUGGGAGAGCAGGCGGAAUGCGAUGGAGUGUGCAUUACAUUUGGAAAAAAAUGUGAAUCAGUCACUACUGGAACUGCACAAACUGGCCACUGACAAAAAUGACCCCCAUUUGUGUGACUUCAUUGAGACACAUUACCUGAAUGAGCAGGUGAGAGCCAUCAAAGAAUUGGGUGACCACGUGACCAACCUGCGCAAGAUGAGAGCACCCGAAUCUGGCUUGGCAGAGUAUCUCUUUGACAAGCACAUCCUGAGAGACAGUGAUAAUGAAAGCUAAGCCUCAGGCUAAUUU
This is an RNA transcript of Nomascus leucogenys (northern white-cheeked gibbon), 2144 nucleotides long. It is a transcript of the gene named ATP-dependent RNA helicase DDX39A pseudogene, with no coding region annotated. The transcript has 4 exons. Lineage: Eukaryota; Metazoa; Chordata; Mammalia; Primates; Hylobatidae. The record is from RefSeq and is a predicted model, not a curated record.